Molecule: ribosomal RNA, 1690 nt
Filed under: Capros aper (boarfish)
Lineage: Eukaryota; Metazoa; Chordata; Actinopteri; Caproiformes; Caproidae
Description: 16S rRNA
Rfam family: Bacterial large subunit ribosomal RNA
Source: RNAcentral
AGCCCAAUAGCUAGCCCCACCCACCAAUUGCAACAACUCCCCAUCACUAACCCCAAAACCACUAAACCAAGCAAACAAAUCAUUUUUCCCCCUUAGUAUAGGCGAUAGAAAAGGAAACAUGGCGCGAUAGAAAUAGUACCGCAAGGGAACGCUGAAAGAGAAAUGAAAUAAACCCUCAAAGCAGAAAAAAGCAAAGAUUUUAUCUUGUACCUUUUGCAUCAUGAUUUAGCUAGUCAUAGUCAAGCAAAGGGUACUUUAGUUUGACCCCCCGAAACUAAGUGAGCUACUCCGAGACAACCUAUUAGUAGGGUGAACCCGUCUCUGUGGCAAAAGAGUGGGAAGAGCUCUGAGUAGAGGUGACAGACCUACCGAACUUAGUAAUAGCUGGUUGUCUGAGAAUUGGACAGGAGUUCAGCCCCUUGGGUUCUUAAUUCAAUUUAGCCACUAUUAAUUUGAUACCCAGAAACCAAGGGAGUUAAUCAAAGGGGGGACAGCCCCUUUGAUAAAAGACACAACUUUAACAGCGGGAUAAAGAUCAUACUUAACUUAAAGGUUUUAUGUUGCAGUGGGCCUAAAAGCAGCCAUUCUGAAAGAAAGCGUUAAAGCUCGAACAUAAUUUACCCCUGCUAAUACUGAUAAUUUUAUCUUAUUCCCCUAACCAUACCGGACCUAUCCAUGCUAACAUGGAUACGAUAAUGCUAAUAUGAGUAAUAAGGGGUCUCAUAGGCCCCUCCUAGCAUAAGUGUACCUCGGAACGGAAACUCCGCCGAAAAUUAACGGCCCCAUUAAAAGAGGGUACUGAUCAAAAAAAUAAACAACAAGAAAAGCAGCCAUCAAACGACCGUUAACCCCACACUGGAAUGCUUCGUAGGAAAGACUAAAAGAAAAAGAAGGAACUCGGCAAACACAUCAAGCCUCGCCUGUUUACCAAAAACAUCGCCUCUUGCAAAAUUAACGAAUAAGAGGUCCCGCCUGCCCUGUGACUGUAAGUUUAACGGCCGCGGUAUUUUGACCGUGCAAAGGUAGCGCAAUCACUUGUCUUUUAAAUGGAGACCUGUAUGAAUGGCAUAACGAGGGCUUAGCUGUCUCCUUUUUCAAGUCAAUGAAAUUGAUCUCCCCGUGCAGAAGCGGGGAUACUUACAUAAGACGAGAAGACCCUAUGAAGCUUUAGACACCAAAGCAGCUCAAGUUAAACACCCCCUCAUAAGGGACUAAACCAUGUGAAUCCUGCCCUAAUGUCUUUGGUUGGGGCGACCGCGGGGGAUAAAAAGCCCCCAUGUGGAAUGAGAUUAAUUCUCUUAAAACUAAGAGCUACCGCUCUAAUAAACAGAACUUCUGACCUAAAGAUCCGGCAAUGCCGAUCAGCGGACCGAGUUACUCUAGGGAUAACAGCGCAAUCCUCUUUUAGAGCCCAUAUCGACAAGGGGGUUUACGACCUCGAUGUUGGAUCAGGACAUCCUAAUGGUGCAGCCGCUAUUAAGGGUUCGUUUGUUCAACGAUUAAUAGUCCUACGUGAUCUGAGUUCAGACCGGAGUAAUCCAGGUCAGUUUCUAUCUAUGAAGUGCUCUUUUCUAGUACGAAAGGACCGAAAAGAAAGGGCCCAUACUUAAAGCAUGCCCUUCCCUUAUCUAGUGAAAACAACUAAACCAGAUAAAAGGGCACACUCCUUUUAUACCUGAGAGAAAGGUAA